UACGUAGGAGGCGAGCGUUGUCCGGAAUUACUGGGCGUAAAGAGCGCGUAGGCGGCGCUGUACGACCCGCGUGAAAGCCCCCGGCUCAACCGGGGAGGGUCGCGGGUUACGGCAGUGCUCUGAGUGCAGGAGAGGGGAGUGGAACUCCGGGAGUAGCGGUGAAAUGCGUAGAUACCCGGAGGAACACCAGUGGCGAAGGCGGCUCCCUGGUCUGCAACUGACGCUGUGGCGCGAAAGCUGGGGGAGCGAACGG
This 253-nucleotide ribosomal RNA is filed under the name uncultured bacterium. Its description in RNAcentral is "partial 16S ribosomal RNA". It matches the Rfam family "Bacterial small subunit ribosomal RNA", at positions 524 to 775 of the family's 1533-position model. The record is from RNAcentral.